AUGAUACUUGCGGAUGAGCUAGGAUGCCCACGAGUUGUUUUUGAAUCUGAUUGCCUAGGGCUUAUGAAUACUUGCAAUGGGGUGCCUGAAAUACUCAGUCCAUAUACAGUUAUCCUUGCUGAUUGCUUCCAUAUGGCGAAGAGGAUUGGAUCAGUCUCUUUUGUUCACUACACAAGAGAGGCAAACAUGAUGGCACACUCUUUAGCAAGAAAGUCUUUUGAUUCCCAAGUUGUUAUUUCUUGGGGUGAUGAACCUCCAGGUUUUCUCUUACCCGAGCUGGUUAAAGAUGUAACUAUUUUUUUUAAUAAAGUGUGCCACAAGUUAAAAAAACUAUCAAUCUAA
RNAcentral lists this ribosomal RNA (342 nucleotides) under Triticum aestivum (bread wheat). RNAcentral describes it as "partial small subunit ribosomal RNA". Lineage: Eukaryota; Viridiplantae; Streptophyta; Magnoliopsida; Poales; Poaceae. The record is from RNAcentral.